Molecule: ribosomal RNA, 710 nt
Filed under: Saprolegnia monoica
Lineage: Eukaryota; Oomycota; Saprolegniomycetes; Saprolegniales; Saprolegniaceae
Description: LSU rRNA
Rfam family: Eukaryotic large subunit ribosomal RNA
Source: RNAcentral
CCCGCUGAAUUUAAGCAUAUCAUUAAGCGGAGGAAAAGAAACUAACAAGGAUUCCCCUAGUAACGGCGAGUGAAGCGGAAGAGCUCAAGCUUAAAAUCUCCAUGUGCAAGCAUGGCGAAUUGUAGUCUAUUGAGGCUGUUGUCAGCAUAGCGAUCUGGGAAAAGUCCCUUGGAAAAGGGCAGCAUAGAGGGUGAUACUCCCGUCUCUGCUCAGAUUGUCUGUGUGUACGAUACGCUUUCUUUGAGUCGAGUUGUUUGGGAAUACAGCUCAAAGUAGGUGGUAAAUUCCAUCUAAAGCUAAAUAUUGGUGCGAGACCGAUAGCGAACAAGUACCGUGAGGGAAAGAUGAAAAGAACUUUGAAAAGAGAGUUAAAGAGUACCUGAAACUGUUGAAAGGGAACCGUAUCGUUUCCAGUGUUGUAUCCUGUGCAUAUUUCAUUAGCGGACGAAUUUGCUGGUGCCCUGUGCAUGGGUGUGACGUCAGAGUCAGUUUGUAUGCUGCGGGAGAUGGGCAGUGAGGAGGUGCUUCAUUUCGGUGAAAGUUAUAUCUCGCUGUCUAGUAGCCGUGGUUGAGACUGAGGUGCCUACAACAUGCCUUGGGGUUCGGGGCCGUCUUGUUUUGGUGACUGUUUGGAUAGCUUGCUAUGUCUGCGGUUAAUCAGGGCAAUUGAUGGUGUCGAAAACCUCUGCUGUCGGGACUCUGGCGAAUGG